RNAcentral lists this ribosomal RNA (230 nucleotides) under uncultured bacterium. RNAcentral describes it as "partial 16S ribosomal RNA". It matches the Rfam family "Bacterial small subunit ribosomal RNA", at positions 568 to 791 of the family's 1533-position model. The record is from RNAcentral.
UGCGCAGGCGGUUGUGCAAGACAGAUGUAGAAACGUCCCCGGGCUCCAACCGUGGGAAUUGCUAUUUGUGACUGCACGGCUAGAGUGUGUCAGAGGGGGGUAGAAUUCCACGUGUAGCAGUGAAAUGCGUAGAUAUGUGGAGGAAUACCGAUGGCGAAGGCAGCCCCCUGGGAUAACACUGACGCUCAUGCACGAAAGCGUGGGGAGCAAACAGGAUUAGAUACCCCAGU